This 183-nucleotide unclassified non-coding RNA is filed under the name uncultured fungus. Its description in RNAcentral is "sequence contains ITS1". Lineage: Eukaryota; Fungi. The record is from RNAcentral.
CCGAGUGUGAAACCCCCCGUAAAAAGGGGGGUUACCUCCCGUCCUUUGCUGGGCACCCCCUUCCAAUCGGAUAGGGGUUGUUUUCAGACCCUUCUGCUUCGGCGGGGUAACCCGCCGGAACAACCUCAAAAUAUUCUCAAUUCAAAACCGUUCAGUCCGAGAAACUUUUUUUGAAAAGCGAAA